CUGAGGCUGCUCGGUUACUGUCAAAGUGUAAAGAUGGCGGAAUUCUUGAGUUCAGAGACGUGGCUCGUGAGAUGGUGAAUGUUCCAUUUAACAGAGUUCAUCUUAUCGUUCCUUCUUCCGCUAUUACUCACACCAAACAAACCCUACUUGAUACUGUUCCUGAAGAAUAAUUAUGUUAAUUAGAUUAUUUUCUAAUUUAUGUACGUAGCUAGAGGUUUCGUUUGCGGCUGUAAUCUUGAGGAGGGAACCAGUUUCUUCUUGGGUUUUAAAGUUUUUUUAGCUGCUCUCUUUCUUCAUCAGAUGCCAAGAAAGCUGCUCAACUUCCCCCCCCCCCCCCCCUUUUGGGUUUUAUGCUGGUAGGUUAUGACUAGAUAGUCACGGUGUUUACCAAGUUUCCCAAACAAAUAAAUUACUGUUACUAUAUAAAUUAUAAAUUAUAUUUACCAACACAUUUUUGUUGGAUGUCGGACUUUUUUUAUUCUUUAUUUAAGAGAUUAUGUUAUUAUUAAUGUAUAUAUGUAAAUUAUUUUUGUGUUAUCAUGUUAAAAUUAAGAAAAUAUUUG
This 563-nucleotide long non-coding RNA is filed under the name Carica papaya (papaya). RNAcentral's name for it is "long non-coding RNA (CPAP_LNC007425)". The record is from RNAcentral. Lineage: Eukaryota; Viridiplantae; Streptophyta; Magnoliopsida; Brassicales; Caricaceae.